AUAAAGUUUAAUUCUAGUUUAAAGAUUUAUUUAAUUUUUUUUUUACAUGUAAAUUUUUGUAUGAAUAUUAGUUAAAUUUUAAAAAUUUAAUUAAAAUGAUUUAUUCGCAGUAUUUAAUUUUAAUAAUUUAAGAAAUUAAGAAUUAGAAAUAAAUUUUAAUAUUAACAAAUUUUGUGCCAGCAGUUGCGGUUAUACAAAAGAUAUAAAUGAAUUUUAUUAGUAAAUAAUUAUAUGAAUUAUUGAUAAAUUAAGAUAGUAUUUAUUAGGUGAAAUUUUAAAUAUUAAAUUAAUUUAUAAAAAAGUUUUUAUUAUUAUGAAAUUUGUAUUUAAACUAGGAUUAGAUACCCUAUUAUUUUAAAUGUAAAAAGUUUUACUUAAGUAGUAUUAGUUAUGUUCUUGAAAUUUAAAGAUUUUGGCGGUAUUUUAGUCUAUUUAGAGGAACCUGUUCUGUAAUUGAUAAUCCACGAUUAACUUUACUUAUUUUAUAAAUUUGUAUACCGUCGUUAUUAGAAAAUUUUAGCAGAAAAUAAAUUUUUAAUAUUUUAAAUUAAAAAAUAUAUCAGAUCAAGGUGCAGUAUAUAUUUAAGAAGAAAUGGGUUACAAUAAAUUUAUUUAUACGGAUUAAAGUAAGAAUAAACUUUAUGAAGGUGGAUUUAAUAGUAAUAAAAUUUAAUUAAAUUUUAUGAUUUUAGCUCUAAAAUAUGUACAUAUCGCCCGUCGCUCUUAUUAUAAGGUAAGAUAAGUCGUAACAUAGUAGAUGUACUGGAAAGUGUAUCUAGAAUGAA
Molecule: non-coding RNA, 785 nt
Filed under: Dyscolus orthomus
Lineage: Eukaryota; Metazoa; Arthropoda; Insecta; Coleoptera; Carabidae
Source: RNAcentral